UUAAGCGACUAAGCGUACACGGUGGAUGCCCUGGCAGUCAGAGGCGAUGAAGGACGUGCUAAUCUGCGAUAAGCGUCGGUGAGGUGAUAUGAACCGUUAUAACCGGCGAUUUCCGAAUGGGGAAACCCAGUGUGUUUCGACACACUAUCAUUAACUGAAUCCAUAGGUUAAUGAGGCGAACCGGGGGAACUGAAACAUCUAAGUACCCCGAGGAAAAGAAAUCAACCGAGAUUCCCCCAGUAGCGGCGAGCGAACGGGGAGGAGCCCAGAGCCUGAAUCAGUGUGUGUGUUAGUGGAAGCGUCUGGAAAGGCGCGCGAUACAGGGUGACAGCCCCGUACACAAAAAUGCACAUAUUGUGAGCUCGAUGAGUAGGGCGGGACACGUGGUAUCCUGUCUGAAUAUGGGGGGACCAUCCUCCAAGGCUAAAUACUCCUGACUGACCGAUAGUGAACCAGUACCGUGAGGGAAAGGCGAAAAGAACCCCGGCGAGGGGAGUGAAAAGAACCUGAAACCGUGUACGUACAAGCAGUGGGAGCCUCUUUAUGGGGUGACUGCGUACCUUUUGUAUAAUGGGUCAGCGACUUAUAUUCUGUAGCAAGGUUAACCGAAUAGGGGAGCCGAAGGGAAACCGAGUCUUAACUGGGCGUUAAGUUGCAGGGUAUAGACCCGAAACCCGGUGAUCUAGCCAUGGGCAGGUUGAAGGUUGGGUAACACUAACUGGAGGACCGAACCGACUAAUGUUGAAAAAUUAGCGGAUGACUUGUGGCUGGGGGUGAAAGGCCAAUCAAACCGGGAGAUAGCUGGUUCUCCCCGAAAGCUAUUUAGGUAGCGCCUCGUGAAUUCAUCUCCGGGGGUAGAGCACUGUUUCGGCAAGGGGGUCAUCCCGACUUACCAACCCGAUGCAAACUGCGAAUACCGGAGAAUGUUAUCACGGGAGACACACGGCGGGUGCUAACGUCCGUCGUGAAGAGGGAAACAACCCAGACCGCCAGCUAAGGUCCCAAAGUCAUGGUUAAGUGGGAAACGAUGUGGGAAGGCCCAGACAGCCAGGAUGUUGGCUUAGAAGCAGCCAUCAUUUAAAGAAAGCGUAAUAGCUCACUGGUCGAGUCGGCCUGCGCGGAAGAUGUAACGGGGCUAAACCAUGCACCGAAGCUGCGGCAGCGACACUAUGUGUUGUUGGGUAGGGGAGCGUUCUGUAAGCCUGUGAAGGUGGCCUGUGAGGGUUGCUGGAGGUAUCAGAAGUGCGAAUGCUGACAUAAGUAACGAUAAAGCGGGUGAAAAGCCCGCUCGCCGGAAGACCAAGGGUUCCUGUCCAACGUUAAUCGGGGCAGGGUGAGUCGACCCCUAAGGCGAGGCCGAAAGGCGUAGUCGAUGGGAAACAGGUUAAUAUUCCUGUACUUGGUGUUACUGCGAAGGGGGGACGGAGAAGGCUAUGUUGGCCGGGCGACGGUUGUCCCGGUUUAAGCGUGUAGGCUGGUUUUCCAGGCAAAUCCGGAAAACCAAGGCUGAGGCGUGAUGACGAGGCACUACGGUGCUGAAGCGACAAAUGCCCUGCUUCCAGGAAAAGCCUCUAAGCAUCAGGUAACAUCAAAUCGUACCCCAAACCGACACAGGUGGUCAGGUAGAGAAUACCAAGGCGCUUGAGAGAACUCGGGUGAAGGAACUAGGCAAAAUGGUGCCGUAACUUCGGGAGAAGGCACGCUGAUAUGUAGGUGAAGCGACUUGCUCGUGGAGCUGAAAUCAGUCGAAGAUACCAGCUGGCUGCAACUGUUUAUUAAAAACACAGCACUGUGCAAACACGAAAGUGGACGUAUACGGUGUGACGCCUGCCCGGUGCCGGAAGGUUAAUUGAUGGGGUUAGCGGUAACGCGAAGCUCUUGAUCGAAGCCCCGGUAAACGGCGGCCGUAACUAUAACGGUCCUAAGGUAGCGAAAUUCCUUGUCGGGUAAGUUCCGACCUGCACGAAUGGCGUAAUGAUGGCCAGGCUGUCUCCACCCGAGACUCAGUGAAAUUGAACUCGCUGUGAAGAUGCAGUGUACCCGCGGCAAGACGGAAAGACCCCGUGAACCUUUACUAUAGCUUGACACUGAACAUUGAGCCUUGAUGUGUAGGAUAGGUGGGAGGCUUUGAAGUGUGGACGCCAGUCUGCAUGGAGCCGACCUUGAAAUACCACCCUUUAAUGUUUGAUGUUCUAACGUUGGCCCGUAAUCCGGGUUGCGGACAGUGUCUGGUGGGUAGUUUGACUGGGGCGGUCUCCUCCUAAAGAGUAACGGAGGAGCACGAAGGUUGGCUAAUCCUGGUCGGACAUCAGGAGGUUAGUGCAAUGGCAUAAGCCAACUUGACUGCGAGCGUGACGGCGCGAGCAGGUGCGAAAGCAGGUCAUAGUGAUCCGGUGGUUCUGAAUGGAAGGGCCAUCGCUCAACGGAUAAAAGGUACUCCGGGGAUAACAGGCUGAUACCGCCCAAGAGUUCAUAUCGACGGCGGUGUUUGGCACCUCGAUGUCGGCUCAUCACAUCCUGGGGCUGAAGUAGGUCCCAAGGGUAUGGCUGUUCGCCAUUUAAAGUGGUACGCGAGCUGGGUUUAGAACGUCGUGAGACAGUUCGGUCCCUAUCUGCCGUGGGCGCUGGAGAACUGAGGGGGGCUGCUCCUAGUACGAGAGGACCGGAGUGGACGCAUCACUGGUGUUCGGGUUGUCAUGCCAAUGGCACUGCCCGGUAGCUAAAUGCGGAAGAGAUAAGUGCUGAAAGCAUCUAAGCACGAAACUUGCCCCGAGAUGAGUUCUCCCUGAGACUUAGAGUCUCCUGAAGGAACGUUGAAGACGACGACGUUGAUAGGCCGGGUGUGUAAGCGCAGCGAUGCGUUGAGCUAACCGGUACUAAUGAACCGUGAGGCUUAACCUU
Molecule: ribosomal RNA, 2901 nt
Filed under: Escherichia coli
Lineage: Bacteria; Pseudomonadati; Pseudomonadota; Gammaproteobacteria; Enterobacterales; Enterobacteriaceae
Description: 23S ribosomal RNA
Rfam family: Bacterial large subunit ribosomal RNA
Source: RNAcentral